This 265-nucleotide ribosomal RNA is filed under the name uncultured bacterium. Its description in RNAcentral is "partial 16S ribosomal RNA". It matches the Rfam family "Bacterial small subunit ribosomal RNA", at positions 793 to 1055 of the family's 1533-position model. The record is from RNAcentral.
GUCCACGCCGUAAACGUUGGGUACUAGGUGUGGGAGGUUUAAUACCUUCUGUGCCGCAGCUAACGCAUUAAGUACCCCGCCUGGGGAGUACGGUCGCAAGAUUAAAACUCAAAGGAAUUGACGGGGGCCCGCACAAGCGGUGGAGCAUGUGGUUCAAUUCGACGCAACGCGAAGAACCUUACCUGGGCUUGACAUCCCUGGAAUCCUGCGGAAACGCGGGAGUGCCCGCAAGGGAGCCAGGAGACAGGUGCUGCAUGGCUGUCGU